GGCACGCCUCCUUCAUCCAAUCAGAAGGCUGUCCGGACCAGGGAGCCCAUCCCAUACAGGUCCAAUCUGAGGGGUGCAACUGGCGAAAAAACUCAUCCAACUCAAUGGUGCAGCCAUUGGGCGGGCGGACCCUCUCCGGUCGGAGCAGUGAUCACUCCGGUCCAUUGUUCAUUUCAUCCCUAAGUACAAACUUUGCUAACAAAUGUGUUUUUCUAACAAGUAGAUCAGCAUGCUUUGGAAACCAUGCAUUCCUGCCUUUGCUUGGAGCCUGAGGGCAACGGUACAGCGGACAGGUGGAGCUGCUCAUUUGGGCAUUUGUUUUGCUUCUGCUUUCCUUUACGUAGAGAUCUUUGGUGGUAUCGACCUAUUUCUUUCCCCCCUUGUUUUACCACCUGGCUGCAGGUUGCCUCUUUCCCGUUUCACACACCUGCACAACUUUUUCCUGCUUCUUUUCUAACAAUUUGAUUUUAAGUCCUCAUCUGCAAGAUAAGCUUGCCAACCUAGUAUCUUUAUUAUUUAAAUAUAGAGAAUAUAAAUUGUAUUGCAUGUAGCUGCACAGAAGGAGAAAGAAAAACAACAAUCAAGAAUUUGAAUCUGUGUUCGUAGAACAUUUUUAGAAUUAGAUUAUUUUUUUUUAUUUUGCUGCUCAGAAUUUUACUGUAGAGUAAUGAUGGACUGUCUCCACUUUAUAACUCUUAAAUGCUUGUCAGAAGUGGACACGUUGUAAAGUCGAGGAGGCGAUGAUCACACCGUGACCCUACCAUUUUAUGGACUAUAAUUAAAUGCUACACAGGCUGCUCCACCCAAGUAUGGAUGUCUGUUUUCUUCCUAAAAAAAUCUGGCUUUGUUUCAAAGCUGUAUCCAAGCGCCCGGGACACGUUGCAGGCUAAGAAUGUCCAAUAGCGGACUCGCUUUGUACUUUCCAAAAGCUGGAACCAGUCCAGUUAGAAGAUGUGUCUUUAAUUUUUUAAGCAUGACAGCAAAGAAGAAUGCAUUUUUUUCACUCUAAAUAUGCCACCUCAUCACAUAGAGUUUAGACUGAGGACAAAGACAUACGAGAUCAUUCGUAUAGUGAAUUAAAACUGAAGUCUGCACUAUAGGGUAGCUAUUGUUAACUAUUUAGCUGUGAAAAAAGCAGAACAAGGACAUUGACCUGUAUAAUACAGCGAUAGGCGAUUUGUUAACAGUCAGGUAAAGUGUACAUUCAAGGAAUGCUGUACUACGGGAGCAAUCAGUGCUGAAAAGUGUUGUACCUGUGCCAGCAGAAUCUUUGGAAAAUUACAUUAUCACUCAAGACAGGAUAGUGUGUAAUUCACUGGGAAAAUUAUUGCAGGGUUCCACCUGCACAUUAAGACAAAUCUCAAAUGACAACUUUUUAAAUAAUUGCUCAUGUUUAAUAUAUUAAGUCUGAUUUUGAGUCUUAAUUUUAGGCAUAUCACCCAGUGUAAGUAAAUAGGAUGCUGGCUGUGGCCACAGUUUUGCUCUGGUGUUGACGGACAUUUAAUAUUAUGGGAGAUGAAUUUGUUGUUCAUUGACUGCAUAGAGCAUGUGUUGGAAAUGUACACAAUCUAUUGGAGAAUGGUGAAUGUGAAUCAUUUGUUUUUCUUGCUUGAUUUCAUAGAAUAACAAUUCUAAAUGAGGUUUAGUGCCAUUUUUGCCCAUAGAGCUGGCUUCCCAUUCUAUGAUAAUCCACCAUAUCUCCUCUCUGGAGCAGAAGUCCAUGGCUGUACAUAUUAUUUAUGAAAAAAACUGAUAACUAAUCACAUGUGAAGAGAAUGUUUAUUUAAUCUUUCCAAAAAAUGUUAUCCUAGCACCUGAACAACUACGCCAUUCUAGGGGUGUAAGAGUAACUUCAUUCAUUUUGACAUCAAUGUUUACAACAACA
Molecule: long non-coding RNA, 1885 nt
Organism: Protopterus annectens (West African lungfish)
Lineage: Eukaryota; Metazoa; Chordata; Ceratodontiformes; Protopteridae
Exons: 4
Source: RefSeq, a predicted model, not a curated record